CGCGACCCCAGGUCAGGCGGGGCUACCCGCUGAGUUUAAGCAUAUCAAUAAGCGGAGGAA
Molecule: ribosomal RNA, 60 nt
Filed under: Acacia eriopoda
Lineage: Eukaryota; Viridiplantae; Streptophyta; Magnoliopsida; Fabales; Fabaceae
Description: partial large subunit ribosomal RNA
Rfam family: Eukaryotic large subunit ribosomal RNA
Source: RNAcentral